Molecule: ribosomal RNA, 1389 nt
Filed under: Triticum aestivum (bread wheat)
Lineage: Eukaryota; Viridiplantae; Streptophyta; Magnoliopsida; Poales; Poaceae
Description: partial small subunit ribosomal RNA
Source: RNAcentral
AUGGCCAGCGAGGCGGGGAAGGCUCCGGCGAGCCCCGGCCGGCGCGUGCUCAUGUUCCCGCUGCCGUUCCAGGGCCACCUGAACCCGAUGCUACAGCUGGCGGACGUGCUGCACGCCCGGGGCCUCCGCGUCACCCUCUUCCACGCGGCCUUCAACGCGCCGGAACCCGUGGCAGGGUACCGCUUCGUGCCCGUCGGGGCCGGCGUGCCGGCCGCCGACCUCGUGCCCACGGGCAGCGACGCUGACUUCGUCGGGGCGCUGCUGCGCUUCAACGAGCGCCUGCAAGGAGCUUUCCACGACAGCCUCCGCGAGGUGCUGGAGGAGGAGGAGGGAGCGCGGCCGGCGUGCCUGGUGCUGGACUCCAACCUCCGAGGCAUGCAGGUGGUCGCCGACCGGCUCGGCGUGCCGACGCGGGUGCUUCGCACGGGUGGCGCGGCCUGCCUCGCGGCCUACAUGGCCUUCACGGCGCUCUGCGACAAGGGCCUCCUCCCGCUACAAGAUCAUGCGCAAUUGAACAUGCAACUGUAUGAUCUCCAACCACUCCAAUUGGGAGAUAUGGUCUUCUCAACCACUGCUCCGCAUGAAACAAUGUGCAAUUGCCUUGAGCGCAUUAUGGAAUCUGCUAGGUAUUCUUCUGGUGUCAUCAUUAAUACCUUCAGUGAGCUUGAAGGUGCCGACCUGCAAAAGAUCAUCCAUGGUGUAGGUGUCCCAGUGUAUGCGGUUGGUCCGCUUCACAAGAUAUCUUCAGGUGCCCAGAGCAGCCUAUUGGAUGCCGAUAAAACUUGUUUGAAUUGGCUGGACAAGCAGGAGGCGAAGUCCGUUCUAUUCGUGAGCCUUGGGAGCUUGGCAUCCAUGACCCAUGAAGAGCUCGUGGAGACCGCAUGGGGCUUAGCCAAUAGCUGCAUGCCAUUUCUUUGGGUGAUUAGGAAAAACUUGGUUCAGUGUUCAAGGAAGGUAGGCCUACUUGAAGGCUUUGAGGAGGUAACACGCGGUAGGGGAAUGGUGGUGAGCUGGGCCCCUCAACAAGAAGUCCUUGGGCACCAAGCGGUUGGUGGCUUUUGGACCCAUAACGGCUGGAACUCGACGUUGGAAAGCAUAUGUGAGGGUGUUCCAAUGAUAUGUAGACCCCAUUUUGCCGAUCAGAUGAUUAAUGCUAGGUAUGUCCAAGAAUUCUGGAAGAUAGGAUUUCAGUUAGAGGGAAAGUCGGAGAGGGGGAAGAUUGAGACGAGUGUUAGAAAGUUGUUUUGCCAGGAAGAAGGUAGAGACAUGAGGCAUAGGGCAAAUGAUCUCAAGGACAAAGCAACCCAGUGUAUGAAGAAAGGAGGCUCUUCAAAAACUAGAAUCAAUUUGUUAGUGAAUUUUAUAAUGUCAUUACCUUCUUCCAUUUAG